RNAcentral lists this ribosomal RNA (497 nucleotides) under uncultured bacterium. Its description in RNAcentral is "partial 16S ribosomal RNA". It matches the Rfam family "Bacterial small subunit ribosomal RNA", at positions 28 to 507 of the family's 1533-position model. The record is from RNAcentral.
GAUGAACGCUGGCGGCGUGCCUAAUACAUGCAAGUCGAGCGAACGGACGAGAAGCUUGCUUCUCUGAUGUUAGCGGCGGACGGGUGAGUAACACGUGGAUAACCUACCUAUAAGACUGGGAUAACUUCGGGAAACCGGAGCUAAUACCGGAUAAUAUUUUGAACCGCAUGGUUCAAAAGUGAAAGACGGUCUUGCUGUCACUUAUAGAUGGAUCCGCGCUGCAUUAGCUAGUUGGUAAGGUAACGGCUUACCAAGGCAACGAUGCAUAGCCGACCUGAGAGGGUGAUCGGCCACACUGGAACUGAGACAAGGUCCAGACUCCUACGGGAGGCAGCAGUAGGGAAUCUUCCGCAAUGGGCGAAAGCCUGACGGAGCAAAGCCGCGUGAGUGAUGAAGGUCUUCGGAUCGUAAAACUCUGUUAUUAGGGAAGAACAUAUGUGUAAGUAACUGUGCACAUCUUGACGGUACCUAAUCAGAAAGCCACGGCUAACUACGUG